ACGCUGGCGGCGUGCCUAAUACAUGCAAGUCGAACGCACAGCGAAAGGUGCUUGCACCUUUCAAGUGAGUGGCGAACGGGUGAGUAACACGUGGACAACCUGCCUCAAGGCUGGGGAUAACAUUUGGAAACAGAUGCUAAUACCGAAUAAAACUUAGUGUCGCACGACACAAAGUUAAAAGGCGCUUCGGCGUCACCUAGAGAUGGAUCCGCGGUGCAUUAGUUAGUUGGUGGGGUAAAGGCCUACCAAGACAAUGAUGCAUAGCCGAGUUGAGAGACUGAUCGGCCACAUUGGGACUGAGACACGGCCCAAACUCCUACGGGAGGCUGCAGUAGGGAAUCUUCCACAAUGGGCGAAAGCCUGGUGGAGCAACGCCGCGUGUGUGAUGAAGGCUUUCGGGUCGUAAAGCACUGUUGUAUGGGAAGAACAGCUAGAAUAGGAAAUGAUUUUAGUUUGACGGUACCAUACCAGAAAGGGACGGCUAAAUACGUGCCAGCAGCCGCGGUAAUACGUAUGUCCCGAGCGUUAUCCGGAUUUAUUGGGCGUAAAGCGAGCGCAGACGGUUUAUUAAGUCUGAUGUGAAAGCCCGGAGCUCAACUCCGGAAUGGCAUUGGAAACUGGUUAACUUGAGUGCAGUAGAGGUAAGUGGAACUCCAUGUGUAGCGGUGGAAUGCGUAGAUAUAUGGAAGAACACCAGUGGCGAAGGCGGCUUACUGGACUGCAACUGACGUUGAGGCUCGAAAGUGUGGGUAGCAAAC
Molecule: ribosomal RNA, 758 nt
Filed under: uncultured bacterium
Lineage: Bacteria
Description: bacterial SSU rRNA
Rfam family: Bacterial small subunit ribosomal RNA
Source: RNAcentral